This 397-nucleotide ribosomal RNA is filed under the name uncultured bacterium. Its description in RNAcentral is "bacterial SSU rRNA". It matches the Rfam family "Bacterial small subunit ribosomal RNA", at positions 29 to 426 of the family's 1533-position model. The record is from RNAcentral.
AGCGAACGUUUGCGGCGGGCUUAACACAUGCAAGUCGAACGAGAAUCCCUUCGGGGAGGAAAGUGGCGCACGGGUGCGUAACACGUGGAUAACCAACCCAUUGGUUUGGGACAACACCGGGAAACUGGUGCUGAUACCAGAUGUGUCGCAGCUGUCUUCAGGCGGUUGCGAGAAAGGCCCGCAAGGGUCGCCAACGGACGGGUCCGCGUCCCAUCAGCUAGUUGGUGAGGUAAUGGCUCACCAAGGCGACGAUCUGUAGCGGGUCUGAGAGGAUGAUCCGCCACACUGGGACUGAGACACGGCCCAGACUCCUACGGGAGGCAGCAGUGGGGAAUUUUGGACAAUGGGCGCAAGCCUGAUCCAGCCAUGCCGCGUGCGGGACGAAGGCCUCGGUUGU